Molecule: ribosomal RNA, 422 nt
Filed under: uncultured bacterium
Lineage: Bacteria
Description: bacterial SSU rRNA
Rfam family: Bacterial small subunit ribosomal RNA
Source: RNAcentral
UGAGGAAUAUUGGACAAUGGGUGAGAGCCUGAUCCAGCCAUCCCGCGUGAAGGACGACGGCCCUAUGGGUUGUAAACUUCUUUUGUAUAGGGAUAAACCUUUCCACGUGUGGAAAGCUGAAGGUACUAUACGAAUAAGCACCGGCUAACUCCGUGCCAGCAGCCGCGGUAAUACGGAGGGUGCAAGCGUUAUCCGGAUUUAUUGGGUUUAAAGGGUGCGUAGGUGGGCAGGUAAGUCAGUGGUGAAAUCUCCGGGCUUAACCCGGAAACUGCCGUUGAUACUAUUUGUCUUGAAUAUUGUGGAGGUAAGCGGAAUAUGUCAUGUAGCGGUGAAAUGCUUAGAUAUGACAUAGAACACCAAUUGCGAAGGCAGCUUACUACACAAUCAUUGACGCUGAGGCACGAAAGCGUGGGGAUCAAACA